RNAcentral lists this ribosomal RNA (497 nucleotides) under uncultured bacterium. Its description in RNAcentral is "partial 16S ribosomal RNA". It matches the Rfam family "Bacterial small subunit ribosomal RNA", at positions 28 to 507 of the family's 1533-position model. The record is from RNAcentral.
GAUGAACGCUGGCGGCGUGCCUAAUACAUGCAAGUCGAGCGAACAGACGAGGAGCUUGCUCCUCUGACGUUAGCGGCGGACGGGUGAGUAACACGUGGAUAACCUACCUAUAAGACUGGGAUAACUUCGGGAAACCGGAGCUAAUACCGGAUAAUAUAUUGAACCGCAUGGUUCAAUAGUGAAAGACGGUUUUGCUGUUACUUAUAGAUGGAUCCGCGCCGCAUUAGCUAGUUGGUAAGGUAACGGCUUACCAAGGCAACGAUGCGUAGCCGACCUGAGAGGGUGAUCGGACACACUGGAACUGAGACACGGUCCAGACUCCUAAGGGAGGCAGCAGUAGGGAAUCUUCCGCAAUGGGCGAAAGCUUGACGGAGCAACGCCGCGUGAGUGAUGAAGGUCUUCGGAUCGUAAAACUCUGUUAUUAGGGAAGAACAAAUGUGUAAGUAACUAUGCACGUCUUGACGGUACCUAAUCAGAAAGCCACGGCUAACUACGUG